Molecule: ribosomal RNA, 412 nt
Filed under: uncultured bacterium
Lineage: Bacteria
Description: bacterial SSU rRNA
Rfam family: Bacterial small subunit ribosomal RNA
Source: RNAcentral
AGAGUUUGAUCGUGGCUCAGGACGAACGCUGGCGGCGCGCCUAACACAUGCAAGUCGAACGGAAUGCGGCUUGAUUCUUUCGGGAUGAAGGUUGUAUUUAGUGGCGAACGGGUGAGUAACGCGUGAGUAACCUGCCUCAGAGUGGGGGACAACAGUUGGAAACGACUGCUAAUACCGCAUAAGACCACGAUCCCGCAUGGGAUAGUGGUAAAAGGAUUUAUUCGCUUUGAGAUGGACUCGCGUCCAAUUAGCUGGUUGGUGAGGUAACGGCCCACCAAGGCGACGAUUGGUAGCCGGACUGAGAGGUUGAACGGCCACAUUGGGACUGAGACACGGCCCAGACUCCUACGGGAGGCAGCAGUGGGGGAUAUUGCACAAUGGGGGAAACCCUGAUGCAGCGACGCCGCGUGGA